Non-coding RNA from Candidatus Aminicenantes bacterium RBG_13_59_9, 74 nucleotides. Lineage: Bacteria; Candidatus Aminicenantota. The record is from Rfam.
GCCCCUGUCGUCUAGCCCGGUCAGGACAUCGCCCUUUCAAGGCGGCAACACGGGUUCAAAUCCCGUCGGGGGCG